RNAcentral lists this transfer RNA (63 nucleotides) under Anthaxia sp. ANT01. RNAcentral describes it as "tRNA-Leu". The record is from RNAcentral. Lineage: Eukaryota; Metazoa; Arthropoda; Insecta; Coleoptera; Buprestidae.
GUUAUCUUGGCAGAUAAGUGCAAUAGAUUUAGAAUCUUUUUAUGUAAUAAAUUACAGAUAAUA